RNAcentral lists this ribosomal RNA (398 nucleotides) under Ophiostoma piliferum. Its description in RNAcentral is "partial small subunit ribosomal RNA". It matches the Rfam family "Eukaryotic small subunit ribosomal RNA", at positions 30 to 432 of the family's 1831-position model. The record is from RNAcentral. Lineage: Eukaryota; Fungi; Ascomycota; Sordariomycetes; Ophiostomatales; Ophiostomataceae.
GCUUGUCUCAAAGAUUAAGCCAUGCAUGUCUAAGUAUAAGCAAUUAUACGGCGAAACUGCGAAUGGCUCAUUAAAUCAGUUAUCGUUUAUUUGAUAGCCACUUACUACUUGGAUAACCGUGGUAAUUCUAGAGCUAAUACAUGCUGAAAACCCCGACUUCGGAAGGGAUGUAUUUAUUAGAUUAAAAACCAAUGCCCCUCGGGGCUCACUGGUGAUUCAUGAUAACUUAUCGAAUCGCACGGCCUUGCGCCGGCGAUGGCUCAUUCAAAUUUCUGCCCUAUCAACUUUCGACGGCUGGAUCUGGGCCCGCCAUGGUGACAACGGGUAACGGAGGGUUAGGGCUCGGCCCCGGAGAAGGAGCCUGAGAAACGGCUACUACAUCCAAGGAAGGCAGCAGG